CCUACGGGAGGCAGCAGUGGGGAAUAUUGGACAAUGGGCGAAAGCCUGAUCCAGCAAUGCCGCGUGAGUGAAGAAGGCCUUCGGGUUGUAAAGCUCUUUUACCCGGGAAGAUAAUGACUGUACCGGGAGAAUAAGCUCCGGCUAACUCCGUGCCAGCAGCCGCGGUAAUACGGAGGGAGCUAGCGUUGUUCGGAAUUACUGGGCGUAAAGCGUACGUAGGCGGCUUGGUAAGUCAGAGGUGAAAGCCCACGACUCAAUCGUGGAACUGCCUUUGAGACUGCUUCGCUUGAAGAUGGGAGAGGUUAGUGGAAUUCCGAGUGUAGAGGUGAAAUUCGUAGAUAUUCGGAAGAACACCAGUGGCGAAGGCGGCUAACUGGACCAUUCUUGACGCUGAGGUACGAAAGCGUGGGGAGCAAACAGGAUUAGAUACCCUGGUAGUCCACGCCGUAAACGAUGAUAACUAGCUGUCGGGGCUCUUGGAGCUUCGGUGGCGCGAGCUACGCAUUAAGUUAUCCGUCCGUCGGGUAGGUACGGCCGGCGAACGGUUAAACGUUAAACUAGUAAGUUAGUACGGCGUGAGACGUCGCCGACGGACGACGACGAGGGAGUAGG
This 612-nucleotide ribosomal RNA is filed under the name uncultured bacterium. RNAcentral's name for it is "bacterial SSU rRNA". The stretch from base 1 to 518 matches the Rfam family "Bacterial small subunit ribosomal RNA", at positions 338 to 873 of the family's 1533-position model. The record is from RNAcentral.